This 498-nucleotide ribosomal RNA is filed under the name uncultured bacterium. RNAcentral's name for it is "partial 16S ribosomal RNA". It matches the Rfam family "Bacterial small subunit ribosomal RNA", at positions 28 to 507 of the family's 1533-position model. The record is from RNAcentral.
GACGAACGCUGGCGGCGUGCCUAAUACAUGCAAGCCGAACGAGAGCGACCGGUGCUUGCACUGGUCAAUCUAGUGGCGAACGGGUGAGUAACACGUGGGUAACCUGCCCAUCAGAGGGGGAUAACAUCCGGAAACGGAUGCUAAAACCGCAUAGGUCUUCGAGCCGCAUGGCUUGAAGAGGAAAAGAGGCGCAAGCUUCUGCUGAUGGAUGGACCCGCGGUGCAUUAGCUAGUUGGUGAGGUAACGGCUCACCAAGGCCGUGAUGCAUAGCCGACCUGAGAGGGUGAUCGGCCACAUUGGGACUGAGACACGGCCCAAACUCCUACGGGAGGCAGCAGUAGGGAAUCUUCCGCAAUGGACGCAAGUCUGACGGAGCAACGCCGCGUGAGUGAAGAAGGUUUUCGGAUCGUAAAACUCUGUUGUUAGAGAAGAACAAGUGCUAGAGUAACUGUUAGCGCCUUGACGGUAUCUAACCAGAAAGCCACGGCUAACUACGUG